RNAcentral lists this ribosomal RNA (349 nucleotides) under uncultured bacterium. RNAcentral's name for it is "partial 16S ribosomal RNA". It matches the Rfam family "Bacterial small subunit ribosomal RNA", at positions 338 to 685 of the family's 1533-position model. The record is from RNAcentral.
CCUACGGGAGUCAGCAGUGAGGAAUAUUGGUCAAUGGGCGCGAGCCUGAACCAGCCAAGUCGCGUGAGGGAAGACGGUCCUAUGGAUUGUCACCCUCUUUUGUCGGGGAGCAAAAGACGCCACGCGUGGCGUUCCGAGAGUCCCCGAAGAAAAAGCAUCGGCAAACUGCGGGCCAGCAGCCGCGGUAAUACGGAGGCGGCGAGCGUUCUCCGGAUUUAUUGGGGUAAAAGGGUGCGCAGGCGGUCGGUUAAGUCAGCGGGCAAAGCCCGGGGCUCAACCCCGGCUCGCCGUUGAAACUGGCAGUCUCGAGUUGGAGAGAAGGAUGCGGAAUGCGCGGUGUAGCGGUGAA